The sequence is a transfer RNA, 73 nucleotides long. It matches the Rfam family "tRNA". From Rfam's summary of the family: Transfer RNA (tRNA) molecules are approximately 80 nucleotides in length. The record is from Rfam.
GGGUGUUUAGCUCAGUCGGAAGAGCGAUUGACUUCGAAUCAAUAGGUCGCAGGUUCGAACCCUGCAUCACUCA